UGCCCCGUGGUGCAAUUGGUAGCACAGCAGAUUUUGGUUCUGCAUGUUCUAGGUUCGAGUCCUAGCGGGGCAG
RNAcentral lists this transfer RNA (73 nucleotides) under bacterium. RNAcentral describes it as "tRNA-Gln". It matches the Rfam family "tRNA". Rfam says of the family: Transfer RNA (tRNA) molecules are approximately 80 nucleotides in length. Their secondary structure includes four short double-helical elements and three loops (D, anti-codon, and T loops). The record is from RNAcentral.